Molecule: long non-coding RNA, 649 nt
Organism: Prionailurus viverrinus (fishing cat)
Lineage: Eukaryota; Metazoa; Chordata; Mammalia; Carnivora; Felidae
Exons: 3
Source: RefSeq, a predicted model, not a curated record
UCCAGCAGAGUACAUACCUGCGUCUAGACGCAUCCUCUGACCUGAGUCUCUCAGCAUCUCAGGAGGAUGUUCUGAAUCACCCUGGAAACCCUCUGAGACAUCUUUCUGAAGAGAAGAGCAGUUCUGAUGAGGCUUUCCGAUGUGACCUGCGAUGAUGGAGUGGUCUCGGGCUCCCUGCCAGCUGAGCAUCUCAGCACAAAAACCUAGGAAUGAAUUCCUCAUCAUUGAGGAAAAGUCCAGAGAGAAAAGAGCAGCCACCCAGGGUAAAGAAGGGAACCCAGAGAGCCAGUCAAGUCAGACCUGAAAAGACCAGCCUCCUGCUGCCAACCUGCAGUCACAGCACUCGGCUGAUUCUGCUGCCCUGCCACUGGCACGCAAAAGAGUACAAGAUAUUCCCACUCUCCUCUUUGUCUAAUUCCACAAGCCUAAGGAGGCAAUAAUGACCAACCUCUUGGAGUUUUCCAGUUGAUUAUAGAGAACAGCAUUGUAUUCCGCAGUAUACUCUGGCCGCCCUGCCACCAGAUGAAAGGAAAAGCAUAAAAGCCCGAGCAAGCCUGGGACUCUGCCUUUCCUGCCGCAACAUGCCAUCAAAUGCAGCCGGGGCCCUCCACGGAGGCAGCCAUUCUGUUGUUCACGUUCACCGAGUUCA